This 347-nucleotide unclassified non-coding RNA is filed under the name fungal sp. RNAcentral describes it as "partial internal transcribed spacer region". The stretch from base 1 to 46 matches the Rfam family "Eukaryotic small subunit ribosomal RNA", at positions 1786 to 1831 of the family's 1831-position model. Lineage: Eukaryota; Fungi. The record is from RNAcentral.
AAGUCGUAACAAGGUCUCCGUAGGUGAACCUGCGGAGGGAUCAUUAACACGUUUAACAACGUACCCACCAAAACUAUGGAAACAGCCGCAAGGCAGUUCUCUCCCUCUAACAAUUGCUUGCAGUUGCUAGAGGCUCUAUCCUUCUUCUAACCCCUUUCCAACUUCAAUGCAAGCGUGCGCCCGCUCUAUACUCUGUAUACAGUGUGCAUGUUGGCAUUGUCCUGUCUGACCUGUAUUCUAUGUAGCGUGUGUCAUUCUGUGUGGACUCGUCCUCUUCAGUCUGUCCUCGCUCUAUAGUUGAUAUUUAAUGCAAAGCACAACUCUUAGCAACGGAUAUCUUGGUUCUC